AUAUUUCAGUGAAAUUCCAGAAUUUCUCGAAAACAAAAAUAAGAUUUUGCCAUGUGAAUCAGCUGAAGAGCUAUCUACAACACUUGUCAGAUUCACAAGAGUCACAAGACGUGACUCAGAAGACAAAGAAAGUCUAAAGAGGUGGUACUGGCCACUGGUGAAGUGUGUGACUGUGAGGGUGCCUCAAAAUGAUCUUCUCCAGCAUGUCACACUUGUGGAUCUUCCUGGAAAUGGGGACCGUAACAAGAGCAGAGACGAGAUGUGGAAAAAGUUAGUUGGAAGUUGUUCUACUGUGUGGAUUGUGACUGACA
Perca flavescens (yellow perch) is the source of this 311-nucleotide long non-coding RNA. RefSeq lists it as uncharacterized. The transcript has 3 exons. The record is from RefSeq and is a predicted model, not a curated record. NCBI's taxonomy places the organism in Eukaryota, Metazoa, Chordata, Actinopteri, Perciformes, Percidae.